This 253-nucleotide ribosomal RNA is filed under the name uncultured bacterium. RNAcentral's name for it is "partial 16S ribosomal RNA". It matches the Rfam family "Bacterial small subunit ribosomal RNA", at positions 524 to 776 of the family's 1533-position model. The record is from RNAcentral.
UACGUAGGGUGCAAGCGUUAAUCGGAAUUACUGGGCGUAAAGCGUGCGCAGGCGGUUCUAUAAGACAGAUGUGAAAUCCCCGGGCUCAACCUGGGAACUGCAUUUGUGACUGUAGAGCUGGAGUACGGCAGAGGGGGAUGGAAUUCCGCGUGUAGCAGUGAAAUGCGUAGAUAUGCGGAGGAACACCGAUGGCGAAGGCAAUCCCUUGGGCCUGCACUGACGCUCAUGCACGAAAGCGUGGGGAGCAAACAGG